UGGGGAAUAUUGGACAAUGGGGGCAACCCUGAUCCAGCCAUGCCGCGUGAGUGACGAAGGCCUUCGGGUUGUAAAGCUCUUUUGGCGGGGACGAUGAUGACGGUACCCGCAGAAUAAGCCCCGGCUAACUUCGUGCCAGCAGCCGCGGUAAGACGAAGGGGGGCUAGCGUUGUUCGGAAUUACUGGGCGUAAAGCGAGUGUAGGCGGUUGCCGUAGUCAGGUGUGAAAGCCUUGAGCUCAACUCAAGAAAUGCACUUGAUACUGGGUGACUAGAGGACCGGAGAGGAUAGUGGAAUUCCCAGUGUAGUGGUGAAAUACGUAGAGAUUGGGAAGAACACCAGUGGCGAAGGCGGCUAUCUGGACGGUUACUGACGCUAAGACUCGAAAGCGUGGGGAGCAAACAGGAUUAGAUACCCUGGUAGUCCACGCCGUAAACGAUGGGUGCUAGACGUUGGCGAGCUUGCUCGUCAGUGUCGCAGCUAACGCGUUAAGCACCCCCGCCUGGGGGAGUUACGGCCGCAAGGGUUGAAAACUCAAAAGGAAUUGACGGGGUCAUAGCUGUUUCCU
This 567-nucleotide ribosomal RNA is filed under the name uncultured bacterium. Its description in RNAcentral is "partial 16S ribosomal RNA". It matches the Rfam family "Bacterial small subunit ribosomal RNA", at positions 355 to 1375 of the family's 1533-position model. The record is from RNAcentral.